RNAcentral lists this ribosomal RNA (465 nucleotides) under uncultured bacterium. RNAcentral describes it as "partial 16S ribosomal RNA". It matches the Rfam family "Bacterial small subunit ribosomal RNA", at positions 338 to 795 of the family's 1533-position model. The record is from RNAcentral.
CCUACGGGAGGCAGCAGUGGGGAAUAUUGCGCAAUGGGCGAAAGCCUGAAGCAGCGACGCCGCGUGAGGGAUGAAGGUCUUCGGAUCGUAAAACUCUGUUAGCAGGGAAGAACGGUCACUGUGCUAAUCAGCAGUGAAUUGACGGUACCUGCAAAGGAAGCACCGGCUAACUCCGUGCCAGCAGCCGCGGUAAUACGGAGGGUGCGAGCGUUAAUCGGAUUUACUGGGCGUAAAGCGCUCGUAGGCGGUAUGUCAAGUCAAGGGUGAAAGCCCCGGGCUCAACGUGGGAACUGCCUUUGAAACUGGCAAACUGGAGUGUGUGAGAGGAUAGUGGAAUUCCAGGGGUAGGGGUGAAAUCCGUAGAUAUCUGGAAGAACAUCAGUGGCGAAGGCGACUAUCUGGCACGUAACUGACGCUGAGGAGCGAAAGCGUGGGUAGCGAACAGGAUUAGAUACCCGUGUAGUC